GGGCCCGCACAAGCGGUGGAGCAUGUGGUUUAAUUCGAUGCAACGCGAAGAACCUUACCAGGGUUUGACAUCCUGCGAAUCUCUUGGAAACGAGAGAGUGCCUUCGGGAACGCAGUGACAGGUGGUGCAUGGCUGUCGUCAGCUCGUGUCGUGAGAUGUUGGGUUAAGUCCCGCAACGAGCGCAACCCACGUCUUUAGUUGCCAGCAUUUAGUUGGGCACUCUAGAAAGACUGCCGGUGACAAACCGGAGGAAGGUGAGGAUGACGUCAAGUCAGCAUGCCCCUUAUGUCCUGGGCUACACACGUGCUACAAUGGUUAAGACAAAGAGUUGCGAGUUCGUGAGAACCAGCUAAUCUCGUAAACUUAGCCUAAGUUCAGAUUGUAGGCUGCAACUCGCCUACAUGAAGUUGGAAUCGCUAGUAAUCGC
RNAcentral lists this ribosomal RNA (427 nucleotides) under uncultured bacterium. RNAcentral's name for it is "bacterial SSU rRNA". It matches the Rfam family "Bacterial small subunit ribosomal RNA", at positions 917 to 1345 of the family's 1533-position model. The record is from RNAcentral.